RNAcentral lists this long non-coding RNA (684 nucleotides) under Rattus norvegicus (Norway rat). RNAcentral describes it as "long non-coding RNA NONRATT029675". Lineage: Eukaryota; Metazoa; Chordata; Mammalia; Rodentia; Muridae. The record is from RNAcentral.
UGUCCUUGGUCCCUGUGUUCUGUUAUUGGUCCCUGUGUUCUGUCCUUGAUCCCUGUGUCCUGUCCUUGGUCCCUGUGUUCUGUUAUUGGUCCCUGUGUUCUGUCAUUGGUCCUUGUGUUCUGUCAUUGGUCCUUGUGUUCUGUCAUUGGUCUUUAUGUUCUGUUCUUGGUCCCUGUGUUCUGUCCUUUGUCCCUGUGUUCUGUAAUUAGUCCCUGUAUCCUAUGCUUGGUCCCUGUGUUCUGUCCUUGGUAUUUGUGUUCUGGUCUUGGUCCCUGUGUUCUAUCCUUGGUCCCUGUGUUCUGUUUUUCUUGGUCCCCAUGUUCAGUUCUUCGGUACCUGUACUGUUGGUAUUGGGUUCCUGAAUCCUCCUAAGUGGGCUUCUGCGUUCUUACUAUGGCUUCCUCUUUUCUGUAAAUCCAUGUUAUCCUGUAAUGUCAGUGAAUCUCCAAUUCCAACUUGUGGGAUCACAAUGGCCCAGGGUCGCAGGAAGUGUCCCUGGAGCUUCAACCCCGGAUUCCUCAAACAUGAGAUUUGCGGUGAAUUGUGAGAGCAGCGAUAAGCCGGCAUGGACCGCCCUUGGAUUUCCCCACCAAAGAAGAUUUUAUGAGAAAUAACCUGGCUGAGGGAGCCUGCCAGCUACCGUGCCUGGGGUCACCAAACUGAAAGCGUGGGGAUUGUUCCAGG